UCUCCGUUGGUGAACCAGCGGAGGGAUCAUUAAAGAGUUGAAAAACUCCCAAACCAUUUUGAACAUACCUUCAACGUUGCUUCGGCGGGUUGGCCCCGGUCUCCGGGGUCCCCGGCCCUCACGGGCGCCCGCCGGAGGUACCUAACUCUUUAACUUUUAUGACCUCUCUGAGUCUUUGUACUUAAUAAGUCAAAACUUUCAACAACGGAUCUCUUGGUUCUG
This 222-nucleotide unclassified non-coding RNA is filed under the name plant metagenome. RNAcentral's name for it is "partial contains small subunit ribosomal RNA, internal transcribed spacer 1, and 5.8S ribosomal RNA". The record is from RNAcentral.